UGAUGAUUAUGAUACAAACAACAACAGUACUACUUGCAGUAGUGGCAUCACAUCACUUCUUGAGGACUUGAGCAUUUGGAAUUGUCGAUCCCUUGAAUCCUUAACAUCAAGUGGGGAAUUACCUACCACACUUCAAGGCUUCUUUAUUUCUAAAUGUCCGAAGCUGGAGUCAGUAGCCAAGAGUUUUCAUCAUAACUCAUUUCUUACAAAUAUCGAGAUCUGCUAUUGUGAAAAUCUUCAAUUGUUGAAUGGUGGAGAGUUGCUACUCCCUUCCAACCUGAGAGAGCUUUCUAUAUCUGACUGUGAGAAAAUAUUUAAUUGUCCGAGCAUUUUAUCAUUUCUCAAAGAAGGUUUUCCCACAAACCUAACAGCACUUGACAUCUCUCAUCCUAAAAUCACUGAAGCCUUGUUCGAUUGGGGGUUGGACAACCUCACUUGCCUAAAUCAUCUUGGAAUUGUUGGAUGUCAGCAUCUGGCGUCCUUUCCAGAGAUGACGUUGCCUGCCUCUCUAACAAGCCUCGGCAUCUCAAAAUUCCCAAAUCUGGAAUGCCUGUCUUCCGAGGGCUUCAGAAAACUUACCUCUCUUAAAACACUCAUGAUUGAUGACUGCAAGAAGCUCACGUGUUUUCCAACGAAUGGCUUACCUUCCUCACUACAACGACUUCUAAUCGAUGAAUGUCCUCUGCUUGAAGAACGCUGCAAGAAAGAUCAGAGAGGAGAGUGGCGCAAGAUAGCUGACAUCCCUUGUGUUGAAAUUAAUGGCAGAUACAUUUAUGACACAGAAACGGAGGAAUAAAUCCAAAGAUUGUUCAAAAGACUGACACAAGUUGUUGCAACUUCCGACUGCCAUCUGAAAACUGGAUGUGCAAAGACCCAAAAUUGAGGCCCACGUUUGCUGAGAUCAUGGCUGCUUUGAAGCCGUUGGAGAAGCCAAUAACCAGUUCUCAAGUUCCCAGGCCAAGCACAUUCACAGGCAGUGGUCGUCAGAAGCCUCUGCCAUUACAAAUUGCAGAAGAAGCAGGCUAGAAGAGCGAACUAUACCAUCAUACUCUCUGUCAUUGGAUUGCAAAAAUAUGGGGUGAAGUUCUA
Juglans regia (Persian walnut) is the source of this 1089-nucleotide RNA transcript. It is a transcript of the gene named putative disease resistance RPP13-like protein 1, with no coding region annotated. The record is from RefSeq and is a predicted model, not a curated record. The transcript has 3 exons. NCBI's taxonomy places the organism in Eukaryota, Viridiplantae, Streptophyta, Magnoliopsida, Fagales, Juglandaceae.